GCCGGGCAUGGUGGCGCAUGCCUGUGAUCCCAGCAGCUAGGGAGGCUGAGACCAGAGGAUGACGAGUUCAAAGUCAGCCUCAGCACUGGCGAGGUGCUAAGCAAAUCAGUGAGAACCUGUCUCUA
Molecule: small RNA, 125 nt
Filed under: Marmota monax (woodchuck)
Lineage: Eukaryota; Metazoa; Chordata; Mammalia; Rodentia; Sciuridae
Source: RNAcentral